AGAUUAAGUUAUUAAGGGCGCACGGUGGAUGCCUUGGCACUAGAAGCCGAUGAAGGACGUUACUAACGACGAUAUGCUUUGGGGAGCUGUAAGUAAGCUUUGAUCCAGAGAUUUCCGAAUGGGGAAACCCAGCAUGAGUUAUGUCAUGUUAUCGAUAUGUGAAUACAUAGCAUAUCAGAAGGCACACCCGGAGAACUGAAACAUCUUAGUACCCGGAGGAAGAGAAAGAAAAUUCGAUUCCCUUAGUAGCGGCGAGCGAAACGGGAAGAGCCCAAACCAACAAGCUUGCUUGUUGGGGUUGUAGGACACUCUAUACGGAGUUACAAAGGACGACAUUAGACGAAUCAUCUGGAAAGAUGAAUCAAAGAAGGUAAUAAUCCUGUAGUCGAAAAUGUUGUCUCUCUUGAGUGGAUCCUGAGUACGACGGAGCACGUGAAAUUCCGUCGGAAUCUGGGAGGACCAUCUCCUAAGGCUAAAUACUCUCUAGUGACCGAUAGUGAACCAGUACCGUGAGGGAAAGGUGAAAAGCACCCCGGAAGGGGAGUGAAAUAGAACCUGAAACCGUGUGCUUACAAGUAGUCAGAGCCCGUUAAUGGGUGAUGGCGUGCCUUUUGUAGAAUGAACCGGCGAGUUACGAUUUGAUGCAAGGUUAAGCAGUAAAUGUGGAGCCGUAGCGAAAGCGAGUCUGAAUAGGGCGUUUAGUAUUUGGUCGUAGACCCGAAACCAGGUGAUCUACCCUUGGUCAGGUUGAAGUUCAGGUAACACUGAAUGGAGGACCGAACCGACUUACGUUGAAAAGUGAGCGGAUGAACUGAGGGUAGCGGAGAAAUUCCAAUCGAACCUGGAGAUAGCUGGUUCUCUCCGAAAUAGCUUUAGGGCUAGCCUCAAGUGAUGAUUAUUGGAGGUAGAGCACUGUUUGGACGAGGGGCCCCUCUCGGGUUACCGAAUUCAGACAAACUCCGAAUGCCAAUUAAUUUAACUUGGGAGUCAGAACAUGGGUGAUAAGGUCCGUGUUCGAAAGGGAAACAGCCCAGACCACCAGCUAAGGUCCCAAAAUAUAUGUUAAGUGGAAAAGGAUGUGGCGUUGCCCAGACAACUAGGAUGUUGGCUUAGAAGCAGCCAUCAUUUAAAGAGUGCGUAAUAGCUCACUAGUCGAGUGACACUGCGCCGAAAAUGUACCGGGGCUAAACAUAUUACCGAAGCUGUGGAUUGUCCUUUGGACAAUGGUAGGAGAGCGUUCUAAGGGCGUUGAAGCAUGAUCGUAAGGACAUGUGGAGCGCUUAGAAGUGAGAAUGCCGGUGUGAGUAGCGAAAGACGGGUGAGAAUCCCGUCCACCGAUUGACUAAGGUUUCCAGAGGAAGGCUCGUCCGCUCUGGGUUAGUCGGGUCCUAAGCUGAGGCCGACAGGCGUAGGCGAUGGAUAACAGGUUGAUAUUCCUGUACCACCUAUAAUCGUUUUAAUCGAUGGGGGACGCAGUAGGAUAGGCGAAGCGUGCGAUUGGAUUGCACGUCUAAGCAGUAAGGCUGAGUAUUAGGCAAAUCCGGUACUCGUUAAGGCUGAGCUGUGAUGGGGAGAAGACAUUGUGUCUUCGAGUCGUUGAUUUCACACUGCCGAGAAAAGCCUCUAGAUAGAAAAUAGGUGCCCGUACCGCAAACCGACACAGGUAGUCAAGAUGAGAAUUCUAAGGUGAGCGAGCGAACUCUCGUUAAGGAACUCGGCAAAAUGACCCCGUAACUUCGGGAGAAGGGGUGCUCUUUAGGGUUAACGCCCAGAAGAGCCGCAGUGAAUAGGCCCAAGCGACUGUUUAUCAAAAACACAGGUCUCUGCUAAACCGUAAGGUGAUGUAUAGGGCCUGACGCCUGCCCGGUGCUGGAAGGUUAAGAGGAGUGGUUAGCUUCUGCGAAGCUACGAAUCGAAGCCCCAGUAAACGGCGGCCGUAACUAUAACGGUCCUAAGGUAGCGAAAUUCCUUGUCGGGUAAGUUCCGACCCGCACGAAAGGCGUAACGAUUUGGGCACUGUCUCAACGAGAGACUCGGUGAAAUCAUAGUACCUGUGAAGAUGCAGGUUACCCGCGACAGGACGGAAAGACCCCGUGGAGCUUUACUGUAGCCUGAUAUUGAAAUUCGGCACAGCUUGUACAGGAUAGGUAGGAGCCUUUGAAACGUGAGCGCUAGCUUACGUGGAGGCGCUGGUGGGAUACUACCCUAGCUGUGUUGGCUUUCUAACCCGCACCACUUAUCGUGGUGGGAGACAGUGUCAGGCGGGCAGUUUGACUGGGGCGGUCGCCUCCUAAAAGGUAACGGAGGCGCUCAAAGGUUCCCUCAGAAUGGUUGGAAAUCAUUCAUAGAGUGUAAAGGCAUAAGGGAGCUUGACUGCGAGACCUACAAGUCGAGCAGGGUCGAAAGACGGACUUAGUGAUCCGGUGGUUCCGCAUGGAAGGGCCAUCGCUCAACGGAUAAAAGCUACCCCGGGGAUAACAGGCUUAUAUCUCCCCAAGAGUUCACAUCGACGGGGAGGUUUGGCACCUCGAUGUCGGCUCAUCGCAUCCUGGGGCUGUAGUCGGUCCCAAGGGUUGGGCUGUUCGCCCAUUAAAGCGGUACGCGAGCUGGGUUCAGAACGUCGUGAGACAGUUCGGUCCCUAUCCGUCGUGGGCGUAGGAAAUUUGAGAGGAGCUGUCCUUAGUACGAGAGGACCGGGAUGGACAUACCUCUGGUGUACCAGUUGUCGUGCCAACGGCAUAGCUGGGUAGCUAUGUGUGGACGGGAUAAGUGCUGAAAGCAUCUAAGCAUGAAGCCCCCCUCAAGAUGAGAUUUCCCAACUUCGGUUAUAAGAUCCCUCAAAGAUGAUGAGGUUAAUAGGUUCGAGGUGGAAGCAUGGUGACAUGUGGAGCUGACGAAUACUAAUCGAUCGAAGACUUAAUCAAAUU
Molecule: ribosomal RNA, 2927 nt
Filed under: Staphylococcus aureus
Lineage: Bacteria; Bacillati; Bacillota; Bacilli; Caryophanales; Staphylococcaceae
Description: 23S ribosomal RNA
Rfam family: Bacterial large subunit ribosomal RNA
Source: RNAcentral